RNAcentral lists this ribosomal RNA (539 nucleotides) under Anolis microlepidotus (Guerreran oak anole). RNAcentral describes it as "partial 16S ribosomal RNA". It matches the Rfam family "Bacterial large subunit ribosomal RNA", at positions 1811 to 2604 of the family's 2925-position model. The record is from RNAcentral. Lineage: Eukaryota; Metazoa; Chordata; Lepidosauria; Squamata; Anolidae.
AAACAUAGCCUUUAGCAAACCAAGUAUUAAAGGUAGUGCCUGCCCAGUGAAAUUUAAACGGCCGCGGUAUCCUAACCGUGCAAAGGUAGCGUAAUCACUUGUCUUAUAAAUAAAAGACCUGUAUGAACGGCUAAAUGAAUAUUUUAACUGUCUCCUUUGACCAAUCAGUGAAACUGAUCUUUCAGUACAAAAAGCUGAAAUAAAAUCAUAAGACGAGAAGACCCUGUGGAGCUUUAAAUUUUACCAAAGCACUAUUACAGGGCGUGCUCAUGCUAAAAAUUUUUAGUUGGGGGCAACUUUGGAGUAAAACGAAACCUCCAAGAAUAAGGCACUGCCUAAAUAAAGGCCCACAAGCCAAAACAGACAAGACCCAGUACUACUGAGCAACGAACCAAGUUACCCCAGGGAUAACAGCGCCAUCUUCUUCAAGAGUUCAUAUCGACAAGAAGGCUUACGACCUCGAUGUUGGAUCAGGACACCCAAAUGGUGUAGCCGCUAUUAAAGGUUCGUUUGUUCAACGAUUAACAGUCCUACGUGAU